UGGCUCAGAGGUGAAGAGCACUGGCUGCUCUUCCAGAGGUCCUGGGUUCAAUUCCCAG
Molecule: transfer RNA, 58 nt
Filed under: Mus musculus (house mouse)
Lineage: Eukaryota; Metazoa; Chordata; Mammalia; Rodentia; Muridae
Also listed under: 1 other name
Rfam family: tRNA
About the family: Transfer RNA (tRNA) molecules are approximately 80 nucleotides in length. Their secondary structure includes four short double-helical elements and three loops (D, anti-codon, and T loops).
Source: Rfam by way of RNAcentral